GAAAUGCGAUAAGUAAUGUGAAUUGCAGAAUUCAGUGAAUCAUCGAAUCUUUGAACGCACAUUGCGCCCCUUGGUAUUCCGAGGGGCAUGCCUGUUCGAGCGUCAUUACAACCCUCAAGCUCUGCUUGGUAUUGGGCUCCGUCCUCACUGCGGACGCGCCUCGAAGACCUCGGCGGUGGCUGUUCGGCCCUCCAGCGUAGUAGAAUACACCUCGCUUUGGAGCGGUCGGCGUCGCCUGCCGGACGAACCUUCUGAACUUUUCUCAAGGUUGACCUCGGAUCAGGUAGGGAUACCCGCUGAACUUAAGC
RNAcentral lists this unclassified non-coding RNA (308 nucleotides) under plant metagenome. RNAcentral describes it as "partial contains 5.8S ribosomal RNA, internal transcribed spacer 2, and large subunit ribosomal RNA". The stretch from base 1 to 105 matches the Rfam family "5.8S ribosomal RNA", at positions 50 to 154 of the family's 154-position model. The record is from RNAcentral.